This 479-nucleotide ribosomal RNA is filed under the name uncultured bacterium. Its description in RNAcentral is "partial 16S ribosomal RNA". It matches the Rfam family "Bacterial small subunit ribosomal RNA", at positions 28 to 507 of the family's 1533-position model. The record is from RNAcentral.
GAUGAACGCUAGCGGGAGGCCUAACACAUGCAAGCCGAGCGGUAGGGUUUCUUCGGAAACUUGAGAGCGGCGCACGGGUGCGUAACACGUGUGCAACCUACCUUUAUCUGGGGGAUAGCCUUUCGAAAGGAAGAUUAAUACCCCAUAAUAUAAUGAUUGGCAUCAAUUAUUAUUGAAAACUCCGGUGGAUAGAGAUGGGCACGCGCAAGAUUAGAUAGUUGGUGAGGUAACGGCUCACCAAGUCAAUGAUCUUUAGGGGUCCUGAGAGGGAGAUCCCCCACACUGGUACUGAGACACGGACCAGACUCCUACGGGAGGCAGCAGUGAGGAAUAUUGGACAAUGGGUGAGAGCCUGAUCCAGCCAUCCCGCGUGAAGGAUGACGGUCCUAUGGAUUGUAAACUUCUUUUGUACAGGGAUAAACCUACCCUCGUGAGGGUAGCUGAAGGUACUGUACGAAUAAGCACCGGCUAACUCCGUG